GACAGAGGGUGCGAACGUUGCUCGGAAUUACUGGGCGUAAAGCGCGUGUAGGCGGGUGAUCAAGUCAGGUGUGAAAGCCCUGGGCUCAACCCAGGAACUGCACUUGAAACUGGUCGCCUUGAGUGUUGGAGAGGGAAGCGGAAUUCCUGGUGUAGAGGUGAAAUUCGUAGAUAUCAGGAGGAACACCGGUGGCGAAGGCGGCUUCCUGGACAACUACUGACGCUGAGACGCGAAAGCGUGGGGAGCAAACAGG
Molecule: ribosomal RNA, 253 nt
Filed under: uncultured bacterium
Lineage: Bacteria
Description: partial 16S ribosomal RNA
Rfam family: Bacterial small subunit ribosomal RNA
Source: RNAcentral